AACGAUUACUGAUGUAUCUGAAGUUUGAUUCACAGAUUUCUGGCUAAUGUUUUAUUAGGAACAAGAUAUGUGAAAAAUGGGACCAGUGAUGGACUAGUGCUGUAUAAUGAUGGGGAGAAGAAGGAUGUCUUAAACCCUGAUAGCUCAGCUCAAGACCAACACAUUACACAAGAUGAAACUGAGGUUGAAGUGACAUAUUCAACUGUUGUCCAUGUUAAAAAUGCAGCAAGACCUGCUCAAAAACAGAUCGUCACAGCAGAAUACUCUGAAUAUGCCUGCUUAAAAUAAAGCUAAAACACACACGUUUGUAAAAACUAUAUAAGCAACAAAGCAGCUGGACCCUAGUGGUCAGUUCCUUUAACUUAACCUGCAGCUAUUGUAUUGUUCUAUUUUAAUUUACAGUAUACUAUCUGCUUUAGUAAUGUACAGUUAAGGUCAAUUAACUAUUCGCAAAAUUGAAAACAGUAGGGGAGAGCGGGGCACAGCGCCACGAGGGGGCAAAAGGGGGCAUUUCCCCCUCAGAUCUGAUUUGUGCCCCCUCUGUUUAAUUUUUUUAAAUCAUGUUUACAAAUAAAAUGUUCAGCCUUUUAAGUUAAUAAUUUAACCUUAUCCCCAUAUGGGAUUUAAAAUGUUCAGUGAUGUGACUAUACUGCCAGAUUCAAACGUCUUUCACCUUAGUUGGCGCUGAGCUAUAGACGGAUGAGCUCAGCGCUGUCAUAUAUCAACACAUGCAGUGUUUUCAACCUCAAAAUUUUUAUUUUAGAUUUCAGACAUUUAAAUACACAUGGUAAAACAAUAGCCUACUUUUAGUUUGUAAAAUACACA
Paramisgurnus dabryanus is the source of this 825-nucleotide long non-coding RNA. RefSeq lists it as uncharacterized. The record is from RefSeq and is a predicted model, not a curated record. NCBI's taxonomy places the organism in Eukaryota, Metazoa, Chordata, Actinopteri, Cypriniformes, Cobitidae.